GAUGAACGCUGGCGGCGUGCCUAAUACAUGCAAGUCGAGCGAACGGACGAGAAGCUUGCUUCUCUGAUGUUAGCGGCGGACGGGUGAGUAACACGUGGAUAACCUACCUAUAAGACUGGGAUAACUUCGGGAAACCGGAGCUAAUACCGGAUGAUAUUUUGAACCGCAUGGUUCAAAAGUGAAAGACGGUCUUGCUGUCACUUAUAGAUGGAUCCGCGCUGCAUUAGCUAGUUGGUAAGGUAACGGAUUACCAAGGCAACGAUGCAUAGCCGACCUGAGAGGGUGAUCGGCCACACUGGAACUGAGACACGGUCCAGACUCCUACGGGAGGCAGCAGUAGGGAAUCUUCCGCAAUGGGCGAAAGCCUGACGGAGCAACGCCGCGUGAGUGAUGAAGGUCUUCGGAUCGUAAAACUCUGUUAUUAGGGAAGAACAUAUGUGUAAGUAACUGUGCACAUCUUGACGGUACCUAAUCAGAAAGCCACGGCUAACUACGUG
RNAcentral lists this ribosomal RNA (497 nucleotides) under uncultured bacterium. RNAcentral's name for it is "partial 16S ribosomal RNA". It matches the Rfam family "Bacterial small subunit ribosomal RNA", at positions 28 to 507 of the family's 1533-position model. The record is from RNAcentral.